This is a long non-coding RNA of Perca flavescens (yellow perch), 605 nucleotides long. RefSeq lists it as uncharacterized. The record is from RefSeq and is a predicted model, not a curated record. The transcript has 7 exons. NCBI's taxonomy places the organism in Eukaryota, Metazoa, Chordata, Actinopteri, Perciformes, Percidae.
AGCGUAUAUAAGGGCACGAGAGUCUCAUUUCUAUCUCUUCCUCUCAAGUCUUCUGCAAGGAAACUACGGCAGAACUUCGGAUCAACCGGAAUCGUUAUUAGGAGCUGUAACUUACCAGACCUCUCCAACCAUGGAUCUCUGUAUCGAAUGCAGGUAUUGGGUAACAUUGAGGAUGGAAGCACCAAGCAUGAGACUGACCAGCUCACUUGCAGGUAUUGGGUAACAUUGAGGAUAGAAGCACCAAGCAUGAGACUGACCAGCUCAUUUGCAGGUGACCCUCAUGGCUGACUCUGAAGUGACUAGAUGAGUACAUUGGCUGAGUGCAUCAGGCAUCAAUGCACUUCAAUCUGGUAUCCUUGGGCUGCAUGGGCUCUGUACCUUCCUGGCAGGGUCCAGUGACAUGUUGGAGCAGCCUGAAGUGCCGUGUAUUCAGGGCCCAAGCUGCAGGCAGCCACUGCAGAGGGAUUAAACGUGGAUGUGGCUCCAGAGAUGCAGGUUGCCUACUCCUGACGGUUCUGACUGCACUGUGAAGAUGUUGUACAUUUCCAUGUGGUCAGUUGAAUAAAUAUUGUGUUAAUGAAAUAAAAUACACAAACUAAACUUUA